UACGUAGGGUGCAAGCGUUAAUCGGAAUUACUGGGCGUAAAGCGUGCGCAGGCGGUUUUGUAAGUCAGAUGUGAAAUCCCCGGGCUUAACCUGGGAAUGGCAUUUGGGACUGCAAGGCUGGAGUUUGGCAGAGGAGACUGGAAUUCCUGGUGUAGCAGUGAAAUGCGUAGAUAUCAGGAGGAAUACCGAUGGCGAAGGCAGGUCUCUGGGCUAUAACUGACGCUCAUGCACGAAAGCGUGGGGAGCAAACAGG
Molecule: ribosomal RNA, 253 nt
Filed under: uncultured bacterium
Lineage: Bacteria
Description: partial 16S ribosomal RNA
Rfam family: Bacterial small subunit ribosomal RNA
Source: RNAcentral